This 3528-nucleotide long non-coding RNA is filed under the name Sus scrofa (pig). Its description in RNAcentral is "lncRNA (ENSSSCG00070000223.1)". Lineage: Eukaryota; Metazoa; Chordata; Mammalia; Artiodactyla; Suidae. The record is from RNAcentral.
CAUUUUAAAAUUUAUUUUUUUAGGAGUUCCUGUUGUGGCGCAGUGGUUAACGAAUCCGACUAGGAACCAUGAGGUUGAGGGUUCGGUCCCUGCCCUUGCUCAGUGGGUUAAUGAUCCGGCGUUGCCGUGAGCUGUGGUGUAGGUCUCAGAUGAGGCUCGGAUCUUGCGUUGCUGUGGCUGUGGCAUAGGCUGGCGGCUACAGCUCUGAUUAGACCCCUAGCCUGGGAACCUCCACAUUCAGAGGGAUCGGCCCAAGAAAUGGCAAAAAGACAAAAAAAAAAUUUUAUUUAUUUAUUUUUUUAUGGCCAUACACGUGGCAUAGGGAGGUUCCCAGGCUAGGGGUCCAGUCGGAGCUACAGCUGCCGGCCUACACCACAGCCACAGCAAUGCAGGAUCUGAGCUGUGUCUGUGACCUACACCACAGCUCAUGGCAACGCCAGAUCCUUACCCCACUGAGCAAGGCCAGGGAUUGAACCCGCUACCUCAUGACUCCUAGUUGGAUUCAUUUCCGCUGUGCCACGAUGGGAACUCCUCUUUUACAUUUUUCCAUGUUCUUUCUAUAAACUUGUAGAGGAGUGGGGACAAGAGGGCUGUGGGCAAGGAGUCCUGUGGGCAGCGUGUGCUGGAGCCCGGGUGAGCAGAGAAGCCCUGGGGAGGUUUCAGGCCUGCAGCCAUUGAGCCCCAGGCCGCUUGCUUCAUUCUUGGCCACCUGUCGGGCUUCCUUUUCUUCCUUCACAGGCCCUGGGCCUUGGCCUUCCCGCCUCUUCCUUCUCUUGGGGUCCCCCCACCUCCCCGCUGUCUGCAGGGACACAGUGUCUCCAGGCCUUCUUUCCUUGCUGCUGCAGAGGUGGGUGUGUGGACUUUUCUGUCGACCACAAUGGAUAAAACUAACAAAGGUGUUUGUGGCCAAGAGCAGUGAAGGACUGGCCCCUCAGAAGUGCACGCCCAGCCCUGCUUAGUCCCAGGUAUGUGACAGAUUGUGCUGGGUUUGCUCUUGGGUAAGUGUGAACCUGUAGAGUCAAGGAGUUCCUUGGUCACGUUGCUGUUCAGAUCAGUUGCUAAUAGACACAGGGCUGGGAAAUUUGCUGCUGAAAAUCCUGCAACAUUUUGGACCACAUUACUGUCAAUUAUUGGACCCAAAGGCAGAGCAUUCAGGUGGAAAGAGAUCUGGGUGGGGAGACGAGAUCCCUGGCUUCCAUCCUGCCUCUGCCACCGAUGAGCUGGUGGACUUGAGUGGGGCUUCUCCAGUGGACAAGCUGACCUCUAUGGUCCAAACUCUGAAGCAAUAUGCAUUUGCUAAGCACUGGUCACUUUAAAACAUAGAAACUCGGGAGUUCCCGUCGUGGCGCAGUGGUUAACGAAUCCGACUAGGAACCAUGAGGUUGUGGGUUCGAUCCCUGCCCUUGCUCAGUGGGUCAAGGUUCCGGCGUUGCCGUGAGCUGUGGUGUAGGUCACAGACCUGGCUCGGAUCCUACGUUGCUGUGGCUCUGGCGUAGGCUGGCAGCUACAGCUCCGAUUCGACCCCUACCCUGGGAACCUCCAUAUGCCGCAGGAGCGGCCCAAGAAAUGGCAAAAAGACAAAAAACAAACAAACAAACAAACAAACAAACAAACAAAAAAACAUAGAAACUCUAUAAAGUGCAGCCAGGGAGCCAGCGGUGGCAAGUCCCCUAACACAGGACUUGUAUUUAGGGAAAAAGUGACUCAGGAUGAGAACACGUGAGCUGAGACCUUUGAGAUCCUCUAGUCCAAUCUCCUUAAUUCACAGAUGAGACACUAAAGCCCAGAAAGAGGGAGGUUCUUGGUCAAGGUCACACAAGAGCAGGUGCAGGGACACUGCCUCCCUGAGGGAGAGGCCUGCUGGAACACCAGCAAAGAAUGGGGAGAGAAAUCCCAGUUGCUAGGAGGCAAAGCUUUUGGGUAGAGAAACACGGGGCCAGGUUGUGUGUGGGGGACUGUGUAGCACUAGGACCUGUUGCCAUGGGGAAGAGAAAGCACCACAGGUUAAGUACAGAAAAGAGGGCUGCGAGCAAAGCUGGAGGGGGCUGAGCCCCUGCCCUCAACAGCUACCUAUAGUCUGAAUAUUCCCCAGUAGAAGCCAAUGAAACACACAGGCGGUUUCCCCCUGCAGUGAAACACUAGGCGCAGGAAGGGUAUGGCACCUUACGCUAAUCCGGGGCUCAGCUAGCCAUUUUGCUCUAAGCCUAAUGUUUCCAUUUUGAAGGUGAUCCUGUUUACCUAUGGUGUGAGGGAAAUCCUCAGUAUUUAACAUCGUAUCCUGGGUUAGGCCCCUCCCAGCAGGUGGGGGAGAAACUCCAGGCUUGAGUCACUCUUGUUUUCAAUCCUUCUUGGGAAAUGUACAGAAAAAAAGCACCGCCCCCCUCCCACCCCCCAGCACUGUCUCAGCCCAGGAGUGGGGAGUGACAACAGGUGCCCCUGAUUCCGCGAGGGAGGGAGACACAGACAGGCCUUGAUUUCUGUGUCUGGAGCAGGGAUGGCAGGAAAAACCCCGAUAAAAUACUCUAAGCUCAGCUGGUGAAGACUUUUGUUUUUCAAGUUCUAGGAUUGGUGGCAGAAAUGAAAAAUCUGAAGUCCUGAGGAAAAAACCAAAGGAGUCACAUCCCUGGGGAUCCCGUGAGGCCCUCCCUUCGAGUUAAAUCUGGUGCCAUCUUGGAAGCAGCACUUUAGCACAAAGGCAGCCGUUUCCAGGUAUUAGUGGGGCAAGUUGAGAUCUUUUGGUUAAUUUACCAAGAACCAAACCUCGAUCACUCCAUAUCCAGGAAUAGCCACUCUGCUCCAAGAGCAAACUUGGCUGUAUUCAGCCUCUGCUGGAGAGGCUUGUCUUAGCUCGUCAGAGGUCUUUACAGACACCCAAGUGUGUCAACAGAGAACCACCAGAGUGCCCAUACCAGCAGUUAAAAAGCAGACAGUCUAUUUAAAGAAAUGUCUAUUAGAGAUGCUAAUUUUCUUAAGUGGGAAGCCAGAGUGCCAGAUAUGGGGAGACACGCUGGGGUUAUCUAGAAGUGCUGAUAGGACACCUCAUCCCUAAAUGUUUGCCUCCAAAAAUGAAGUAUACAUAAACUAAUGUGGUAAGAUGUUAAUUUUUAGAUUAUUUUCAUAAUCCACCCUUUAUUUGCUUUUUAGGGCUGUACCCGAGGCACAUGGAGGUUCCCAGGCUAGGGGUCGAAUCAGAGCUACAGCUGCCAGCUUACACCAGACACAGCAACACAGGCUCCAAGCCGCAUCUGUGACCUACACCACAGCUCACGGCAAUGCUGGAUCCUUAACCCACUGAGCAAGGUCAGGGAUCGAACCUGAAUCUUCAUGGAUCCGAGCCACAACAGGAAGACCCAAGAUGUUAAUAUUAACAUCAGUGAAUCCAGAGGAGGAAUAUACUGUUCAAAAUAUGUACUAUUACAGCUUUUUCACAGAAUUGAGAAGUUUGAACUAAACAGUGUGUAAUUUAACUUUUUCCAGAACGUGGAAUUUACCAUCUGGUUGAAGCAAUAAAAUACCUGGCCACUGACA